RNAcentral lists this ribosomal RNA (218 nucleotides) under uncultured Turicibacter sp. Its description in RNAcentral is "partial 16S ribosomal RNA". It matches the Rfam family "Bacterial small subunit ribosomal RNA", at positions 568 to 791 of the family's 1533-position model. Lineage: Bacteria; Bacillati; Bacillota; Erysipelotrichia; Erysipelotrichales; Turicibacteraceae. The record is from RNAcentral.
CGCGCAGGUGGUUGAUUAAGUCUGAUGUGAAAGCCCACGGCUUAACCGUGGAGGGUCAUUGGAAACUGGUCGACUUGAGUGCAGAAGAGGGAAGUGGAAUUCCAUGUGUAGCGGUGAAAUGCGUAGAGAUAUGGAGGAACACCAGUGGCGAAGGCGGCUUCCUGGUCUGUAACUGACACUGAGGCGCGAAAGCGUGGGGAGCAAACCCAAUAUCUGGU